UGUCACGGGAGUGAUUGAAGAA
This 22-nucleotide unclassified non-coding RNA is filed under the name Mus musculus (house mouse). RNAcentral's name for it is "oocyte_clustered_small_RNA10523". Lineage: Eukaryota; Metazoa; Chordata; Mammalia; Rodentia; Muridae. The record is from RNAcentral.